RNAcentral lists this long non-coding RNA (3695 nucleotides) under Sus scrofa (pig). RNAcentral's name for it is "lncRNA (ENSSSCG00035036029.1)". The record is from RNAcentral. Lineage: Eukaryota; Metazoa; Chordata; Mammalia; Artiodactyla; Suidae.
CUGGCCUCGCCUGCUGUUGUCCAGGAGCGCACGUGCGCGGCGGGGGGGUUGUGAGAGAGUUAUGGACCUGAAGAUUGGAAGUGACCUGGCAAGGGAGAAGAAGGACAAGCAAGAGUGAAAGAGUAGCAAACCCUGAAGUGGUUCCAAGGGUUUACCUUGUGACCACAGAGACCCAUCUCUGCCAGAGAGGAACAAGCAUGCAGAGAAGAAUUCAAUAGCCUGGGUUGUUCCUGGGAUUGGUGAGCUUUAAAAUCUCCUGUGAUGUCAAGAAGAGGAAAGCCUUCACAUCCCAGGUUUGGCCAUCACAUCCCCGAAUUCAGCUGCAUUGGCUGAAUGUUAAAUGGUUUAUGCCCAGCUAGUGGGAAGGUGAAUAAUACGUAAAGGAGCUGGGAUCUACACAUACGUUGGAUGACACAGACAUUGUACUUCAGAGUCUCGAAGCAUUUUGGUAACGUUCCCCCUAUUGGUAUUUGUGCUCGUUCAGAGAAAGAAUAAAUGGAUUCCUUCUGUGUAUUCCAGAUGUUGGGGUUUUGAGCAAGCUCAAGGGUGCUGAUGCUCCUUGCUCUUGUUCUGAGCCAGCACUCCCCCUCCUUGGAAAGUAGCAUCCAAAUAACCUAUGAAUAAGUAAUUAAUCUUGCCAAGCCUGCAGAUGAACUGAAUGUUGUGAUUUCUGGCCAACUCUGCAGCCAUCUGAACUGGGUGCUUCACAGUUUGUAACCAAUUACCUUGUGGUCCUAAUAACACCUUUAGUGAUUCAAUACAUAUAUCCCAAUAAUGGCAACAUUCUCUUAAAAAAGAAAAAGCCUUCCCAGCUGUAAAAUAAUGUUACAUAAUUGCAUUUGUUAUGGUCUGAUUCUGUAUUCUCAAGGUGAGGGGCAGGAGUGGGGUUAGGGGAGACAGAUUCCUUCUGUCUCCAAAGCUGUCCGAGGUCUCAGACUGGCCUCCUUUCUCAGCCUUGGCACUGUCAUCUUCCGGACAGGAGCAUCUGGGCUCACUCCUGGCAUCUCGGAUCUAUUGCCCUGCAGUCCCCUCCGGGCACUGGAGCAGCGUCACGGUACAGACAAGUAGAGCCAGCACAGAGUGCAGCCACUGAGCCGACUGCAUUGCCUACCUAACCUUGAGGUUUAGAGCGAGUCUGGGAAUUUGAGCAAGGGAGAGAGAGAAAGCUUAUGUUCGUUCAUCCCCAAAUUGAAGGCUCAACAGCCGGCUUGAGAAAAAUGAGUUGCCGAAAGCCGAAAUUCUUCAGAGAGAAUUUUCCCAAAGUGACGUUUGACAUUGCCCUGUUUGUUUAUUUUCUUCCUGGCCAAAGGGCCAACUCCAUAUUGUGUCCUAAUUAAACAGGAUAACAAAAUAGAUUUUUGAAAAAGGUGCAUUGCGUGUGCGUAACAUUCUCCUAGCUAAUCUGGAUGCCCAGGGAGUAGCCUUUCUAAACAUUGAGCACUUUACACACAAGAAGAACUACUACUGAGCAACAUUUUGGGAAGUGGUCAGUAGUGCUGAAUCCCCGGGGCAAUCAUCGAAAUAAGCUUUCCAUAUUCUGUCCUCCCAGUGACAUUUUGGUUCAUUAGAUUCUAUCACAAUAAUUUAGAACCUUUGACUGUUCUCCCACUACAAGGCCACAAAGGUUUUUUUCUUUCUUUUUUUUUCAGACUCUAAAUCUUCACACCCGCCAUACCCAUCUACAUAUCUGCUUUUGAAUAGUCGGCCAGAUAGUAGUUCCUUUGCGGGUGUCCUAGUAGGGUGCCUCUCCACUUGCAGAAUUCUAGAUGUCAACUGCCCCGGGCUGUGACCUUGGGCCAUUCCUAUUCCUUUUCUACACUCCCUCCCAGGGCAGCCUCCUCCAGCCCUAGGCUUUAAAUAGCCUCCAUUCACUGAUGUAUAUCUUUAACCCUGACCUCUCACCAGUACUCCAGGCUCGUAUAUCCAGCUGCCUCCAUGACAUCUCUGUUUGCAUAUCUCAAACUUAACAUGUCCAGAGCAGAACUCUUGACUUUCCGUAUUAAAACCGAAACUCCAAAUUUCUUCCUUCAAGUCUUCUUCCUCUUAGAACCAAAACGACUCCUUCUCUCAAACACCACAUUCAUUUUUGCAGGAAAUCCUUCCACUUCUACUUUCAAAACAUAUCCCGAAUCCAAUCUCUUCCUUUAAUUGCUAGCACCCUGAAGUUUCUCCCCUGGGUGACUAACCCGUUCCCUGCUUCCAUUAUCCCCCCUCCAGCCUCAAUUCAGCAACCAGAGAGUUCUUGCAAAACAUGAGUAAGAUGUCGUUAUCCUUGCUCAAAACUCUUGAAUGCUCUGUGCUUCUAAUCACACCACCAUAAAAAUCCAAAGUCUUGGAGUUCCCGUCAUGGCAUGGUGGAAACGAAUCCGGCUAGGAACCAUGAGGCUGUGGGUUCCAUCCCUGGCCUCGCUCAGUGGGUUAAGGAUCCAGCAUUGCCGUCAGCUGUGGUGUAGGUUGCAGACAUGGCUUGGAUCUGGCGUUGCUGUAGCUGUGGUGUAGGCUGGCAGCUUUAUCUCCAAUUCAAUCCCUAACUUGGAAACUUCCCUAUGCCACAGGUGUGGCCCUAAAAAGCAAAAAAAAAAAAAAAAUUCCAAAGUCCUUUUCCCAGCCUCCCAAGUCCCUUCAGCCACCAUGCACCUCUCCAGUCCUUCUCUCUUAACAUUUGCUCUGCUCUGGCUAGGUGGCCAGCCUCCACCUAGUCCUUAAACCAGGUAGGGCCACCCCUUCCAGCUUUUAAAUUAACCUUCUCAACUGCUAGCUAAAAUAGUUUUGCCUCUUCUGUCCCCUUCCUCUGCCUUUUUUUAAAUAGCAUUUAUCACCCCUUGAUUGUGAUCUAUAAUCAAUUAUUUAUUAUUUACCUCUCUUCCUAAAAUGAACAUUCCAUUAGAGCAGGAUUUUUGUUCACUAUUGUAUCCAUGUUGCCAAAUAAACGAAUAAAUGAUACUGUCAGAGUACAGAAUCUAUUUCCUCACUUAUUUUCUGCCCAUUUUUUAUUUUGGCCACACUUGAGGCAUGCAGAUAUUCCCAGGCCAGGGAUCGAACCCGUGCCAUGGCAGCAACCCAAGCCACAGCAGUGACAACACUGGAUCUUUAACCAUCUGUGCCUCAAGGGAACUCCUCUGCUUUUCUUUAUUGCUAUAGAUAUAUCUUUAUUCUUAUUACAAGUGAAAAUAAGUGCACAUUAUAAAAUUAUAUAAUUUGCAAUUCACUGCAAAUCAAAUCAAAACAAAUUAUACCAAAAAGCUAAGACUAUAUCAAGAUUCAGCAGAGAGGGGUAUGUAUUAAUGAAUAAUUUAAUGCCUAUAAAGCAAAAUCAUGGUCUAACCUUGCAAUUAGGUUUUGAUAUGUAGAAGUUAAAGGCACAGAAAAUCAAAGGCAAAUUAUAUGAAGUGCCUUUUCAUUCACAACUGAAAUAAUCGCCAUGUUGAAAAGGAAUGUGGUAAAUUUAAGAAGAAGCCAAUUGUCCCUUUCAUUUUUUAUCUUGUCCCACUAUGUAACCUUGAACAAGUCAGAUAACAUCUCUGUUUUUCCAUCUGUAAAACAGGCCUGCUCAAUUUCUUCUUUGGUUGGGUAUCAUAUAAUUGUUAUGAAAAAGCUUUGGAAGAAAGGAAAUUUGGAAAUUAUCCAUGAUUAUUAUGUUUCCCAAACUUCUUUGUCAAACAUUUUGAAAUGAAGAAGAAAUAAAUAUAUUUUUG